AUACGGAGGGGGCUAGCGUUGUUCGGAAUUACUGGGCGUAAAGGGCGCGUAGGCGGAUUGUCAAGUCAGAGGUGAAAGCCCUGGGCUCAACCUGGGAACUGCCUUUGAAACUAACGGUCUAGAGUCCGAGAGAGGAUGGCGGAAUUCCCAGUGUAGAGGUGAAAUUCGUAGAUAUUGGGAAGAACACCAGUGGCGAAGGCGGCCAUCUGGCUCGGUACUGACGCUGAGGCGCGAAAGCGUGGGGAGCAAACAGGAUUAGAAACCCGGGUAGUCC
RNAcentral lists this ribosomal RNA (274 nucleotides) under uncultured bacterium. RNAcentral describes it as "partial 16S ribosomal RNA". It matches the Rfam family "Bacterial small subunit ribosomal RNA", at positions 523 to 796 of the family's 1533-position model. The record is from RNAcentral.